RNAcentral lists this long non-coding RNA (223 nucleotides) under Phoenix dactylifera (date palm). Its description in RNAcentral is "long non-coding RNA (PDAC_LNC015318)". Lineage: Eukaryota; Viridiplantae; Streptophyta; Magnoliopsida; Arecales; Arecaceae. The record is from RNAcentral.
AUCAUCAAAAAGGGGGAGAUUGUGGAGUGAUUGAUUAAAACCCUAUUUGAUUUUGAUGAGCUCAAAGCAUUUGAGUAUAUCUAUUGUUAACUAAUGAAUUCAAUUAAGUGUUUCAGUGAAAAUCUUGCCUAAGUGUCUCUAGACAUGGUUCAUAGUAUUUUGGAUAAGUUAAGAAGUCAGCUUGAACCAAAGUCUGAGACUCGAGUCGACUCCCGAGUAUCAC